Non-coding RNA from Paramuricea clavata, 1449 nucleotides. The record is from the annotation of a GenBank genome assembly. NCBI's taxonomy places the organism in Eukaryota, Metazoa, Cnidaria, Anthozoa, Malacalcyonacea, Plexauridae.
CCCCAUCUACAAGUCCAUCUCAAAGCACGACCCAUCUUACGAAUAAAAUAAGCAUUGUCUAAGCCGAGCAAAUCAAAGCUAAAGUUUAUGUAAAUUAACAUGAAUUUUUGUCACGUAUAAAACCACCGACACGGCAGCGAUUUUGUUUGUCUCCUCAUGAAUUAUUAAUGAUUUUUAAGGCAAUAAAGAUGUAGUGCAUUUAGAAUUUAUUUAGUGUACAAAAUAUAUCUAGAUACCAGGACCCGUUAGGAUAAAAUUUUAAAGGUUCAUUGUUAAAACUGCUUUAUUUCACUUAAACUAUAUUGAAUUGUAUUAUAUUUACAUGGUAAAACAAGGAACAUUAAAACACUAAAUACUGUAGUUGAUAGUUACUUCUGCUAAAAUAUUACAUACUAAAACCACCAAGGUGGUUUCCUUGUUUAAAAUUUAAAGUUUGAUCAUUAUGAUCUAUUGUCUACUAUGCUAUCAUUUAGUUAUUAGUUAUCAGCAUGUCUGAUACUAAGCUAUUUUAUAUUUCUAUGAACAUAGUUCUUGUUAGCUUUCUCUGAGUACUGGCAUUCUGAUAAUACACGCUUCCGGAAAGUAUGUCACCUUAGCUUAGAGUUGAAAGUAUGUCACUUCGUUUUCGUUAUUAAGACGUGGGUUUGAACUGAUGUCAGACACACGAAAACGAGGCUCUAUAGCCAAAGUGACGUACUUUCCGGAAGGGUGUAUUGCUAUAAUAGUAUAAACCUUUCACAUAAUGUACAGCUGUAAACUGAUGUACAGCACACACGAGAUGUUCCACACAUUUUCAGGUGCAAUGGUCUUCGCAAUCACUCGUGUUGCUUGCCAGUCUUCUGUAACUCUUCACCACCAGCAGUGAAGAAGUGAUUUCAUACUUGAGUUUCAGUUUUCGGUUUCAUCAUACCAUUGGAAAUAUCUUCUAACGAAGGCGCAAACAGUUCAUCAAGACCUGCCAAAAAUGAAUAAAAUAUGUUUGUUUGCAUUGCAUUGCAUUAUGUCCAUUAUCAGAGAUGCAGCGCCCGGUAUUGACUAGAGCUUACAUGCAGAAAUGUUCAUCAUUUAGGGGCGGACCAUUAUAAAUCCCGGGAGGGGGGGGGGGGGGUGAAAAUUCCCCCCAAAAAAUUUGUGCAAAGAAAAAUGCCAGGAAAAAAAUUCGCGCAGCCAUUACGUCAGAGAAAAAAAAAACCCUGCAAGCAAAGUGCAAAUAGUCUUGAAAAAAAAUUCUUGCAGAGGUUAAAUGCACACAAAAAAUCCUGCAGAGACAUGAGACUGAAAAAAGUUCGUGCCGCAAAAAUUUUAUACUCCCCCUCGCGGAAUUUCUAAUGGUCCGCCCCUUAUGGACUUUUCCAUGACAGUUAAGGGACCGCUCAUUAUUUAUUGUACAGGGGGGGAUUGAGGAGAAACUGGGGGGGCCUUUAAAUUUUUCAAAACCUGAAAGGGGGG